Salvia miltiorrhiza (redroot sage) is the source of this 823-nucleotide long non-coding RNA. RefSeq lists it as uncharacterized. Lineage: Eukaryota; Viridiplantae; Streptophyta; Magnoliopsida; Lamiales; Lamiaceae. The record is from RefSeq and is a predicted model, not a curated record. The transcript is spliced from 2 exons.
AUAUAUAUAUAUCCACACUAAUCCAACAACAUCAUUUCAAAUAACAAAGCUAAAGAUAGAUCCAAGAAAGAGAGCUUUUGAAGAUUACUACUCAAUAAAAACACUGCAUCUCAAUUCUCAAGUGAAAUUCAAGAACUGACAAGCAUUUAUCUUUUUCUACACCGGUCUAUUAUGUCCCCCCCCCCCCCCCAAUCACCACAAUGCUUUUAGUGACUUUUCCCAAUGCAGCCUUCUUUAUUACCACCAACCCCAAAUUUAUUCCUUCCCACAUCCAAAAGGUGAAGCAGAUCUUCUUCCUAAAUCUCCCAGCAUUCUUCCAACAAGAGUAACAAAGCAAAAGAAAUGCUACCAAUCUGGAGCAAUUGUGGCCUUCCAAUCUCUCUAACUGGGAUCUCUUGUUCUCUUCCUCUCUCACAAGAGAUGGAUGAUCAUGAAAGGAGGAGGGAGACCAUGAAAAGGAAGAAAUUUCAAGAAGUGUUGCAGCUACAUGAGAUGAUUAGGGUCCAAAAGGGAGAGGCUUCAGCCAAUGAAAGUGAGAACCGUGAAGGGGAUGCUGCAACAAAUGAGUUUUGUCCAUGCAUUUCUCUACCCUGUACUGCAAAAGCUGCAUAACUACUAUAUUUCCUUAGUACUAUUAGGUUCUAGGUUUCAUUUUUUCUUCUAUUGUUGCUUUUCAUUAUGAAUGUUGUGAGAUAUGGGAACUUCUCUAUUGGGAUUGGAUGCCAUAAAAAUCUUCUAUCCUCCCUUUUUUGGGGUAAUUCUUCCCAUGUAAGACAAAGAGAACAGAGAGGUGGAAUGUUAUAGAAAGUAUAACAUCUUACAA